RNAcentral lists this long non-coding RNA (615 nucleotides) under Homo sapiens (human). Its description in RNAcentral is "non-protein coding lnc-TNK2-7:5". Lineage: Eukaryota; Metazoa; Chordata; Mammalia; Primates; Hominidae. The record is from RNAcentral.
GAAGACGUUUGACCGGGGAAUGGUCUGGAACACGGACCUGGUGGAGACCCUGGAGCUGCAGAACCUGAUGCUAUGUGCGCUGCAGACCGUCAAUGGAGCAGAGGCGGGGAAGGAGUCACGGGGCGCGCACGCCGGGGAAGACUACAAGAGUAAUGAGAAAUGUGAUGGUGUUUCUGGGCUCAGGUGCGGAUUGAUGAGUACGAUCACUCCAAGCCCAUCCAGGGGCAACAGAAGAAGCCCUUUGAGGAGCACUGGAGGAAGCACACCCUGUCCUAUGUGGACGUCAGCACUGGGAAGGUCACUGUGGAAUAUAGACCCAUAAUCGACAAAACUUUGAAUGAGGCUGACUGUGCCACUGUCCCCCCAGCCAUUCACUCCUACUGAUGAGACAAGAUGCGGUGAUGACAGAAUCAGCUUUUGUAAUUAUGUAUAAUAGCUCAUGCAUGUGUCAAUGUCAUAACUGUCUUUAUACGCUUCUGCACUCUGGGGAAGAAGGAGUACAUUGAAGGGGGAUUGGCACCCAGUGGCCGGGGAGCGUGGCACUUUGUCCCUUGCUUCAUUCUUGUGACAAGAUAAAACUGGGCACAGCUCUUAAAUAAAAUAUAAAUGAACAAA